Molecule: ribosomal RNA, 465 nt
Filed under: Vreelandella stevensii
Lineage: Bacteria; Pseudomonadati; Pseudomonadota; Gammaproteobacteria; Oceanospirillales; Halomonadaceae
Description: partial 16S ribosomal RNA
Rfam family: Bacterial small subunit ribosomal RNA
Source: RNAcentral
CCUACGGGUGGCUGCAGUGGGGAAUAUUGGACAAUGGGGGGAACCCUGAUCCAGCCAUGCCGCGUGUGUGAAGAAGGCCCUCGGGUUGUAAAGCACUUUCAGUGAGGAAGAACGCCUGGUGGUUAAUACCCAUCAGGAAAGACAUCACUCACAGAAGAAGCACCGGCUAACUCCGUGCCAGCAGCCGCGGUAAUACGGAGGGUGCGAGCGUUAAUCGGAAUUACUGGGCGUAAAGCGCGCGUAGGUGGCUUGAUAAGCCGGUUGUGAAAGCCCCGGGCUCAACCUGGGAACGGCAUCCGGAACUGUCAAGCUAGAGUGCAGGAGAGGAAGGUAGAAUUCCCGGUGUAGCGGUGAAAUGCGUAGAGAUCGGGAGGAAUACCAGUGGCGAAGGCGGCCUUCUGGACUGACACUGACACUGAGGUGCGAAAGUGUGGGUAGCAAACAGGAUUAGAUACCCGAGUAGUC